This 30-nucleotide transfer RNA is filed under the name Anchusa leptophylla. RNAcentral's name for it is "partial tRNA-Leu". The record is from RNAcentral. Lineage: Eukaryota; Viridiplantae; Streptophyta; Magnoliopsida; Boraginales; Boraginaceae. RNAcentral also lists the same sequence under 9 other names.
GCCGCUAUGGUGAAAUUGGUAGACACGCUG